GUUCCGGCCAAUGGUAGUAGUCCGCUCGCUUGCCGUCCACAUAUGAGAUGGUUCGUGCUUCUACAAAGGUAUUAUCUCUCUACCUUCCCAUAGCCCAUGACCACCGAAUCCAGCUACCUCGCCUUGUUCUUCACUACAAUCUCUCCAAAUCAUCCGCUCCCAUGUCUCUCAGCUGCUGCUGGUUCUUGGUCUUCGUCGGGGUGUGGUGGCUGCCACUGAUGCUCCUGGGGUGGCCGAGGAGCAGCAGGGUGGAGACUGCUCGGCCCAGAUGUGCGGCAACGUCAGCAUCUUCGAUCCCUUCAGGCUCACUGGCUUGCAGACCGGAAGAUCAUGCGCUUCUUCUCCCCGGGAUUUUGAAGUAGCUUGUACUAACAACAGUUAUCCAUCUCUACGGAGCUCCAUACCCUUCAACAGGGGCUUCGAAAUCCUCAACAUCUCCUACGACGAACGCAGCUUGUAUGCGGUUGAUCUGGAAAAGCUGGAUUUAUGGCGUGCCCGCAACAGCUGCCGUGUACCGAUCUGGAACACCUCAGUCAAACUGAAUGGGCCAUUUAGGAUCGACCCCGCCAACCUCAACCUCAUCCUGUACAACUGCACGGCGGCGGCGGCCUUGGCACGUCGGGACGUACAGAGGCCUCGUGCAGACGAGCGUGAGAUGCGCGAACGAGUGGGAGGUGCUUGUCCGCGCCGGAGUACCUCACGACGCCACAGGGAACUACGCCGGCUAUGCAUUGGAAGGCUGCGCUGCUAUCGUCGUGCCCGUGUCGGGCUCGUCGGCGGGGCCGGGGAUAAACGGGAGCGGCUACGAGCAGCUCUUCAACGAUGGCUUCCUCUUGACAUGGAGUUGCCCGCCUCAGACCACUCUCCUUCCACGUAGCAAGACGACUCGCACGAGGAUUAUAACAAUAGCUUUGACAUCAGCAGCUGCAGCACUGCUCUUUCCAUGUAUUUAUGUGCUGAUAUGGUAUAUGACGGGUAAAAGAAACUGGUUUCUUAUCUGGAAAAAGAAAAGCAGCAGCACUGAAAGGCAUUAUGAGGCCAUGAUAGCGUGGUAUGGAUCACUUGCUCCAAAAAGAUACACAUACUCAGAGGUAAUGAAGAUAACAUCGUCUCGCCAUAAGCAGCUUGGUCAAGGUGGUUAUGGUGUGGUUUUUGAAGGAAAUUCUUGCAUGACUGCAAAGGAAAUGGGGAGGAGUUUGUGAAUGAGGUUACAAGCAUUGGCAUGACCUCUCAUGUCAAUGUUGUUAGCCUGUUUGGGAUUUUGUUUGGAGGGAUCAAAACGAGCUCUUAUAUAUGAGUACAUGUGCAAUGGUUCCUUGGAUAGAUACAUUUACUUAGAGAACCCAAAAGAAAUUUUAGGAUGGGAGAGGCUCUAUGCGAUAGCGAUUGGGAUAGCUCGUGGACUGGAAUAUUUGCACCAUAGCUGUAAUACACGGAUCGUCCAUUUUGACAUUAAGCCUCAAAAUAUCCUUCUAGACAAAGAUUUUUGCCCAAAGAUUGCCGAUUUCGGUCUUGCCAAGCUGUGUCGUACCAAGGAGAGCAAGCUUUCAAUGAUUGGUGCUAGAGGAACAAUUGGAUUCAUUGCUCCAGAAGUUCACUCACGAAACUUCGGACUUGUUUCAACGAAAUCAGAUGUUUAUAGUUAUGGAAUGAUGUUGCUAGAGAUGGUCGGAGGAAGGAAAAAUGUGAAAUCAGUGGCUGAAAAAUCUAGCGAAAAGUAUUUCUCAGAUUGGAUUUAUGACCACUUUGCUCAAGAUGAUGGAUUAGAAGCAUGCGAAGUUACAAGUGACAUUGAGGAAAUUGCAAGAAAGAUGACCUUGAUUGGCUUGUGGUGCAUACAUGUAUAACCUGUGUAUCACCCUACUAUAAUCAAAGUUCUAGAAAUGUUCGACAGAAGCUUCGAUGAUAUGGCCAUGCCACCGAAGCAGAACUUCAGUGGACUACUCGAAAUUGCAGCUCAUAAUAUGAAUGUACAAAAUGGAAGCUCUACGACAUCUGAAGAGAUAAGGCUUGUGAAUUCAGGAAAUACACAACAAUUUCCACCUCUUUGAGAAGGCUGUUAGUUGGGAAGGGCGUGUCAAACAUAAGAGGCACAAUGUCAUACCUUUGAUUCAUCUUACAUUAUGAGUGGCGACAACAAACUUGCAUAGCCGGUUAUAAUAAAACCCAUUGUUGAUAACAGUCACAGCAAUGUCACAGGCAUGCAUUAUAGUUCUGCAACAAACCAAAAUUAGCUUGCAUAUAGAGAUAUCUAUGCCAAUAAUUUUUUUUCUUCGACAGGCACCUAAAUGCGUGUCAUAUUUGUACUAGCGCAUACCAAGGUUGUACCACUUGCCAGUCACCAGGUGACCGAAGCCUCCUGUCACUGUAUUCCAGGAAGUACUAGCGCACGAAUUUUGUGUUCCGCCUUACAAGUUGGAAUAGAUAAAAGGAUUGGAUCUCGUGCCAAAGGCAGAGACUUACCAAGACCUUCCUGGCUGUAAUUUUUUUUCGAAGAUCAG
This 2501-nucleotide ribosomal RNA is filed under the name Triticum aestivum (bread wheat). RNAcentral describes it as "partial small subunit ribosomal RNA". The record is from RNAcentral. Lineage: Eukaryota; Viridiplantae; Streptophyta; Magnoliopsida; Poales; Poaceae.